Lepisosteus oculatus (spotted gar) is the source of this 4560-nucleotide long non-coding RNA. Lineage: Eukaryota; Metazoa; Chordata; Actinopteri; Semionotiformes; Lepisosteidae. The record is from Ensembl.
UUUUAUUUGAAUACAGGAGAUCAUUUCGCUCUCCCCGUUUAGGUCAGAGACUGUGGAAAGGUUUCUGAUUUGUUUUCACGUCUCUUUGACGUGCUGUGAGGCCACGCGUUGCUGGUGUUAUUAAUCCCCCGCAGGGCUGUCUAAUUAAUGCCAAUGGAGACCAAUUUCUUCCCAGUGUGAUUUGAACUGGCCAGUACCUUACGCGCAGCUUUAGGGAGGGCGCCUCCUGUAGGCGUGUUUGUUUGCUUUACUUUAAACUGGCCGAGAGUUGUGUCGUCUCGGCAGCUGGAGAAAAUCCUUCUCGCACCCCGGGUAAAAAAAAAAACAGAAAAGGUUUGCCUCAGAAACGGAAAGCUGCUUGAAGUCGAUAAGGGAAGAGGGAAGGUGCACUUUGUAAGAGAAACUUCAAGCCUCCCCCCCUGCCCGCCCAUUAAGUGGUAAUAUUGCAGAAACUCACAUGAAAACACCGGGGCUCGACACAGGCUGGCGAGGCUGGGCUCUGAUAUGCAAAUACGCGGCGGAGCGCGGGGAGAUCACAGGCGUGUCACACUCCCACAGACACACGCAGCAGGCACGGCCCUCAGUGCACCAGCUGACUGGCACUGAGACCCGACCCCCCCCCAGUAAAUCACGGCCUGGAGGCUCGGGGAACAGGAAAGGAUCUGGAAGAACUCGAAGGGAGAGUCCAGCAGCCACAAGCAGUCCCAGACCUGGAGGGCCACCUGGAGCUGCUUUUAUUCCUCUGCUUUCGAGCAUUUGUUGGUGCACGGUCGUCCCUGGCUCUAGUCAGCAUCAAUACGAUGAGGACCGAAGGGGAUUUGGCAGGAGGUCAGGCACUUACCGGCUGUGAUCAGGAAGCCCCCCCCCAGCCUGUAGAGCUUGGCGCUCACGAAGGGCACGGCGCACACCAGGAGGAACCCCCCUGCCAGGCAGCAGACCACCGCCAGGACGAUGAACACGGUCCAGAAGCCCCGGAACACUGCGGAGGCGCGCGGCCAGAAAACACAGAGCACAGCGCCGUCAGGCUUAGUAAUGGAGCGUCACAGAGCUGCAGCUUGGCUAUGGGGGGGCGUCACUGCAACAGGAAGGGAGGGUGUAUACAUCUGCGUGUUCGGAGUGCCGCUCGGUCAUGUCACAGGACCAAGACCUCAGAUCAGGUCGGCCCUGGCCGUCAAAAACACCUUGAGUGUUAAAUGCAAGGAGCUUGUCUUGAAUGUGUCUUAAACUCCGAAGAAUCCUGGAGGGGAAAGCUGUCUUAGGGCGUCUGUGUAACUGGUCAACCAGAGGAUCAGACGAUCAGAGCGACACAAGAGCAUCAGAGGCCAAACCGAGCCGCGUGCUGCUGUCUGCUGCAGUUGCUGUCUGGGACUCUGUUUCCAAUCUUUUCUUUCCUGUGGGCUUCUUCAUUCAUUGCUUACCUGUGAUUUAGCUGUCUGGGACACAGCUGCCACAGUAUGGCAAACACCAAGUCUGCUCCUUGGUGGCAGAAACUGUGAGGUUCCAGCACAAAGCUGGGCGGGGGGGAAUGAAAAAGUCCUAACAGAGGAGGACAGAGCUACAGCAAUCCUUUACAUCCCCCUAGACUCAUUCCUGACUUGCCGAGAGAGGAUAACCCAACCCAAUCAUUCCCAUUCUGAGGCUGGUUGACUGAGAGAGGGCUCACCUGCUGUGGCAUCGUAGGAGGGGUGUGGAACUGGCCCGAUCGCAAUGGGCAGAGGAAAGAGGUACCCAUGAACGCAGAACUUGUGUGGAGGCUGAUUAGCUGCAAUUACAGAGAGGCCUGUGUCAGCGGUUGGCUACAGUAGAUUAUUAAACAACUGGUUCACCAUGAACUGUUGGAUGUUAGUCUUUCUAUCCGUAAGGAUGUGAUUGGCAUCUUUCAGGUGAAACACCAGCUAUCGUAAAGAGCGCUGAUGGGCACAGGGCAUCUGGUCGUGAUUUGCAGUAGCCGAAGCAGCAAAAUGUCUGUACCUUAGUGUUAUUUCAAGGAUAAUUUUAACAUUCACAUUACAAAACAGUCUGUGCAUUCAGAGCAUCGAGGCCGCCUCUAUGUCCCUCUGUCUGUCUGGCUGUCUGUCUCCCCUGGUGGGAGUGCGUGCAGCGCUGAGACUCACUGAAGAGGAAGGCCCAGAAGGUGUGCCAGGAGCUGUCCUCUCUGAACCAGCAGCGCCAGAAGAAGCCCUCGUGGUGGAAGAUGAGAGCAGAGACAGUGUCUGUUCCCGUCGUUGUGACCUUCUCUGUUACUGUCCGGUUUUCGGCCUGGGAGAGAAGGGGGCGCAGAGACUGGUGAGCAUUAACACAGAACUGGUGAGCAUUAACACAGAACUGGUGAGCAUUAAAACAAAACUGGUGAGCAUUAACACAGGACCCCCAGUAAUCUUGGGUGUGGCUCUGUGAGGCAGGGGGCUGCACUGAGUCCCCUGUGGCCUCCAUCCCCUGCACUGUAACAUCCUGACUGCCUUCUGUGUGUCCUGUAUAUGUCACCCACAAACCUGCAGAAACAAGUGCUGUGUCUGUGCUGUUCCAUUCUGGCUGCUCCCUCAGCUCUCUGCUUCAUCACACUGUACCAUCGCUCUGUCUCAGCCAGGGGAGCAGCGCAGCCUACUGGCCACUGUAGAGAAGUGUGUAAGUGACGGGCAGCGGUAACUUUUAUUUGCGAUUGUAAAGUUGAGCACAGUUCUCUUUAUGCACAGUGGCUGGUGAUAAUCUGGACCGUCCUUUGCAGUGCAGCAUGACCCCAAGCCAAUGAUAAGCAGAGCCCUGGUCAUCAUAGCUAUAUACGGCUCUGACAGGCUCUGGCUCACUCCUGCUUGUUGAUGGGAAAUGUGAAUCAUCACUGAGCAUGCCACUGUGAUAAUGAUCCUCGCUGCUCACUAGUUCCAGUCCGGCACUGUCUUCUUCCUCAAAGAGGAAGUGGCUGCCAGCUGGGAGACUCUGAUGAAUCUGGGUCACAGUGACAGCUUCCCUCAACACCACACGGAGGAGGGAAUUAGUGUAAUGAAAAUUGUGGAGAAGUACAGAGAGAGAGGGUGUAUACACCAGCCCUGCUGUACAGAUUGCCUCUCACUGUGCUGCUCCUGGGAGCGCCCGGGCUUUCUGAUGUUUUCAUGGUGUCUAGCCAGAUGAGAUUUGGCAGGGAGCAUCUGUCUUGAUUAAAAAACUUUUCGCAGGCAGAGCCAGAACGCCUGUUGAGCUGGUCUUGUAUCCUGUCAGAGCUCUUUUCCCCUAAGGCUCAGUUAGUCUCAUGCUUCAGCGGGGACCCACUGCAGACAAGUGCAGUAGACUUUGAUUUACUCCUUCAUUUGCCUGGCCCAGGGGCACCCCUGCUGCGCGCGGGGGCCUGUCGUCCAGGGGCGUCCUUAAAAGAGGACCAGCAAUACAGACAACUGAAAAUUCCCGUCAAUAGAAAGUGCCGUCACUCCUAUAAAGGAGAACGCGUUCAUGCAAACCUAGAACGGAGACAUCUGCGUUCUGAUCCGUCUUGAAAUCCAUGCUUUGACAUCAACAUCUGGGUUAAUCUGCUGAUCUGCUGUCAUAUGCAGUUCUCUCUGGUCAAGACUCUUCUCCAUCAUAGAGGUGACCACUGACUGACCACAUGAGAGCUUCUUUUAACCAUACUGUCCCUUUGCACUGCGUUCAGCUCCAGUGGAGCCAUAGAGAGGGAGGCGGUUGAUAGGAUGAAUUUGAUCCUCUCUCUUUGUUGCAAGCGUGGAAAAUGGAGGUAUUGCAAUAACAAUUGUACAGUACUUUCAGUUCAGGCAGUGGCACGGUCUGCUGAAUGACAUAUUCGCUCGUUUUAAAACUUUGCGGCAGGUAUGGGAAUGUGUGUGUGGGAAGGGUGUGGCAGCAAAUCUAGCUACUUCCUCGCUUAAAAUAAUCCCUCCAUCCACUUGUUCCCCAGUCUGUCCGCCCAUCGGGUACCUGGGUUGUGCUGGAAUUCCAAGAGGCCAGGUGUUUGUGCUGGGUCUGGGUCACCUCAUUGUUUGUGUUUGGAGUGGGUGUCUGUGUUCUCUGUAAGACAGUCUUCUGGCUGAAAGGCUGAAAGUAAUGAUCAAUUACUGAACAGCAGCCCAUUUGUUUUAUUUUCAGUAUUUAGUAAUCCGAUCAUCCUGAUGCCACAAAUCACUGACCGGCAGCUACAAGACUGUUAUAACUCAGGAUAUUGCAAGAGUGCUAUUUUUUUGUGCGAUUUACUUAGGUUUGCUCACAGAGGCUACUGACAUAAGUAAAUCCUGGUAGAAAGUUUUCUAAAAGGCCGGCCCUGGUGUGGAGCACAGUUAAUAGCAGCGGGCUGCCGAGCAUUGUGCGACGCUGAUUUGGGUCCCCCCGGCAACCACCUACUGUAGCAAUCAGCUGCGUGGGGCCCCUUUCUCAAGAAAUCGUCUCUCUGCUGGUUGUUACCCGUCCUGUUGUGACGAACGCCGCUCAGGAAAAGCCCAGGUGCCAAUCCCACACCAGUGAUGUGCUACAGCAGGCCGGGGAAGUCACAGACUGUCUGGGCUUCUCACAACAGCCACCCAAUCCUGAGGCAGACCCCUGAAGCAGAUCUGUUUGCGCCUU